AUGGCGGGCGCAUCCUCGUGGUCGUCGUCCUGCUCAUGCACGUCGUCGCUCGGCUCCUUGGAUGACGACGACGUGGUCUGCGUGGUGAAACCGGGUUCCCCCGGGGCGGCAGAGGGCAGCGUCAAGUUCCUGUGCAGCUACGGGGGUAUGAUCCUUCCACGCCACCCCGACGCCGCCCUCCGUUACGUCGGCGGCAACAACCGCGUCCUCUCCGUCGACCGCUCCCUCCAAUUUUACGAGCUGCAACGGAAGCUGAUGGACAUGUGCGGAUGCGAGGCGAUGAGCCUGCGGUGCCAGCUGCCGACGGAGGACCUGGACGCGCUCGUCUCCGUCACGACCAACGACGACCUCGGCCACCUGCUGGAGGAGUACGACGCCGCUAGCAGGGACCGGCUCCAGCCGCUCAAGAUAAGGGCGUUCCUGUUCCCAAGGUCCAAAACGCCGCCUCUCUCGCCGUCCACCCCGUCGUCCAGGCCAACACCGGCGUACGUCCGCCACCAGCACCACACGGCUCGCCCCCCUCCGGCUCGUGUGCAUUCGGGCCACCGGCGCCCACACCAGCUCCUGCUCCUCCACAACGGCAGUCGGUUGCAAUAA
This 597-nucleotide ribosomal RNA is filed under the name Triticum aestivum (bread wheat). Its description in RNAcentral is "partial small subunit ribosomal RNA". The record is from RNAcentral. Lineage: Eukaryota; Viridiplantae; Streptophyta; Magnoliopsida; Poales; Poaceae.